AACGAACGCUGGCGGCAGGCUUAACACAUGCAAGUCGAGCGGACCCUUCGGGGUCAGCGGCAGACGGGUGAGUAACGCGUGGGAAUCUACCCAGCUCUACGGAAUAACUCAGGGAAACCUGAGCUAAUACCGUAUACGUCCUCCGGGAGAAAGAUUUAUCGGAGUUGGAUGAGCCCGCGUCGGAUUAGCUAGUUGGUGGGGUAAUGGCCUACCAAGGCUACGAUCCGUAGCUGGUCUGAGAGGAUGAUCAGCCACACUGGGACUGAGACACGGCCCAGACUCCUACGGGAGGCAGCAGUGGGGAAUAUUGGACAAUGGGCGAAAGCCUGAUCCAGCCAUGCCGCGUGAGUGAUGAAGGCCCUAGGGUUGUAAAGCUCUUUCAGCGGGGAAGAUAAUGACGGUACCCGCAGAAGAAGCCCCGGCUAACUUC
RNAcentral lists this ribosomal RNA (430 nucleotides) under uncultured Alphaproteobacteria bacterium. Its description in RNAcentral is "bacterial SSU rRNA". It matches the Rfam family "Bacterial small subunit ribosomal RNA", at positions 29 to 504 of the family's 1533-position model. Lineage: Bacteria; Pseudomonadati; Pseudomonadota; Alphaproteobacteria. The record is from RNAcentral.